GAUGAACGCCGGCGGUGUGCCUAAUACAUGCAAGUCGAGCGCACUGGCCCAACAGAAAUGACGUGCUUGCACUGAUUUGACGUUGGAUUCCCAGUGAGCGGCGGACGGGUGAGUAACACGUGGGCAACCUGCCCCAAAGCGGGGGAUAACAUUUGGAAACAGGUGCUAAUACCGCAUAACUUGGACAACCACAUGGUUUUCCAAUAAAAGAUGGUUUCGGCUAUCACUUUGGGAUGGGCCCGCGGUGCAUUAGCUAGUUGGUGAGGUAACGGCUUACCAAGGCGAUGAUGCAUAGCCGAGUUAAGAGACUGAUCGGCCACAAUGGAACUGAGACACGGUCCAUACUCCUACGGGAGGCAGCAGUAGGGAAUCUUCCACAAUGGGCGCAAGCCUGAUGGAGCAACACCGCGUGAGUGAAGAAGGGUUUCGGCUCGUAAAACUCUGUUGUUGGAGAAGAACGUGCGUAAGAGUAACUGUUUACGCAGUGACGGUAUCCAACCAGAAAGUCACGGCUAACUACGUGCCAGCCGCCGCCGUAA
RNAcentral lists this ribosomal RNA (539 nucleotides) under uncultured bacterium. RNAcentral's name for it is "partial 16S ribosomal RNA". It matches the Rfam family "Bacterial small subunit ribosomal RNA", at positions 28 to 523 of the family's 1533-position model. The record is from RNAcentral.